RNAcentral lists this ribosomal RNA (558 nucleotides) under Ochromonas sp. CCMP1393. RNAcentral's name for it is "partial Bacterial small subunit ribosomal RNA". It matches the Rfam family "Bacterial small subunit ribosomal RNA", at positions 1 to 551 of the family's 1533-position model. Lineage: Eukaryota; Chrysophyceae; Chromulinales; Chromulinaceae. The record is from RNAcentral.
UUGAAGAGUUUGAUCAUGGCUCAGAUUGAACGCUGGCGGCAGGCCUAACACAUGCAAGUCGAGGGGCAGCGGGGAAAAGCUUGCUUUUCCGCCGGCGACCGGCGCACGGGUGCGCACCGCGUAUGGAACCUGCCUUGUACAGGGGAAUAGCCCAGGGAAACUUGGAUUAAUGCCCCGUAGUACCGUAUUUCGGCAUCGUUAUACGGUUAAAGCCUUCGGGCGGUACAAGAUGGCCAUGCGUCCCAUUAGCUGGAUGGUAAGGUAACGGCUUACCAUGGCUACGAUGGGUAGGGGCCCUGAGAGGGGGAUCCCCCACACUGGUACUGAGACACGGACCAGACUCCUACGGGAGGCAGCAGUGAGGAAUAUUGGACAAUGGAGGCAACUCUGAUCCAGCCAUGCCGCGUGAAGGAAGACUGCCCUAUGGGUUGUAAACUGCUUUUAUAUGGGAAGAAUAAGUAGUACGUGUACUACGAUGACGGUACCAUACGAAUAAGCACCGGCUAACUCCGUGCCAGCAGCCGCGGUAAGACGGAGGAUGCAAGUGUUAUCCGGAAU